GACGAACGCUGGCGGCGUGCUUAACACAUGCCAGUCGAACGGAAAGGCCCUGCUUUUGUGGGGUGCUCGAGUGGCGAACGGGUGAGUAACACGUGAGUAACCUGCCCUGGACUUUGGGAUAACUUCAGGAAACUGGGGCUAAUACCGGAUAGGAGCUCCUGCGGCAUGGUGGGGGUUGGAAAGUUUCGGCGGUUGGGGAUGGACUCGCGGCUUAUCAGCUUGUUGGUGGGGUAGUGGCUUACCAAGGCUUUGACGGGUAGCCGGCCUGAGAGGGUGACCGGCCACAUUGGGACUGAGAUACGGACCAGACUCCUACGGGAGGCAGCAGUGGGGAAUAUUGCACAAUGGGCGGAAGCCUGAUGCAGCAACGCCGCGUGCGGGAUGACGGCCUUCGGGUUGUAAACCGCUUUCGCCUGUGACGAAGCGUGAGUGACGGUAAUGGGUAAAGAAGCACCGGCUAACUACGUG
Molecule: ribosomal RNA, 468 nt
Filed under: uncultured bacterium
Lineage: Bacteria
Description: partial 16S ribosomal RNA
Rfam family: Bacterial small subunit ribosomal RNA
Source: RNAcentral